AGCACAAAGAAAGGAUUAGACCUUGUGAGUGUGACAGAAAGAAAACAAUAGUCAUGUUAGCUAAGAUGCAGAACUUAUUAUGAAGUUAGCAUGCCAGUGUAGCAAACUCAACUGAACAAAGUUGACUUGCUGGUUACUGGCUAUAUUGCCAUACUAGCUACUAGUAUCUAGUGGAAGUAAGUUACUCGGAAGCUGCCCGGCGAGAGCUACCUGCUGCAGAAAAGUCAGGUUUCUCCAUUACGUUGUGUAGAUAACUUCUGUCGGCUGAUGGUGUAUAUUGACUAUAAACAGCAGUUACUGUAAAUGGUUACCUAUCUGGCACUUUGCAUAGCUAACUUGGCUAUUGCUGACACAUACAACAAUAUCCAAUUAAGCUAUAGUGUGUGUGUGUUCUGAAUGUUCCCGCAGGAGAAAAGCACAGUAUGGCAUCUCAGCUGAUCAUCAUGAACUUCAUGUAGUUACAGUACAUCAACCAAUACAGAUGAUUGUGAACGGCAUCUCAGAACGCACAACUCGUCUGUCCUUAUUACGGAUAGGCUAUUGCAGCAGAUAACCACACCGAUAUCCACUCCAGUCAGCUAAAAACAAGAAUAACCGGCUCCAGUGGGCACGCCAUCACCUGGACAAUUGAGGAGUGGAAAAACAUAGCCUGAUCUGAUGAAUCCUGGUUCCUGUUGCGUCAUGCUGACAGUUGAGUCAGGAUUUGGUGUAGGAAGCAUAAGUCCAUGGCCCCAUAAUGCCAAUUGAGCAACGCUUCCAUGCCCCAAAGAAUUCAGGCUGUUCUUGAGGCAAAGGAAUGUCCGACCUGGUACUAGAUGGGUGUACCUAAUAAACUGACGACUGAGUGUAUAUUUCUAUUUUAUGCAGAACUGGGAGGAUGUAAAAAGGGGAUGAGAUUACAUUAAAACAUUAUUAGGUCUAUAUUCUAAAAUGCAAUGGUAGGUAGUUGACUGAACUUUAUAAACAAAUGUGAAUAUUCAUCAUUUAUUAUUAUUAGAAUUCCAAUUAUUAUUAACAAUCAAACAAUGUUUCCCAUUUUAAAGUCAAUUAUGAGCAGGUGACCUAAUAACAUAAUACCCUCACAUCUGGCCUAUGCCUAUAUCUCUUUCAUAUCUCUUUCACACUCUAUGACACAUGCAUGCAAAGAAGACAGACUCACUCACCAAAGCUCUAAUUUUCUCCCAUUGGCACACACACUCUGCCAGCCAGUCAAGCGGAUCUCUCUCUCGACGGGCACAGUAAUAGUUCAAAAAUGGGCCCGGAAUACAGCAGUUCUCAAUACUGCCUAUAACGCUUAAUGUGCUGUUACUGUAAUAUCUGCAUAUACAGUUCCUUCAGAAAGUAUUCACACCCCUUGACUAUUCUCCAUUUUGUUGUGUUACAGCCUUAAUUCAAAAUGGAUUAAAUAUAUAUUUAUUCUCACCCAUCUACACACAAUACCCCAUAAUGACAAAGUGAAAACACUUUUCUUGUGCAAAUGUAUUGAAAAUGAAAUUUAAAAAUAUCUAAUUUACAUACAGUACCAGUCAAAAGUUUGGACACACAUACUCAUUCAUGGGUUUUUCUUAAUUUGUACGAUUUUCUACAUUGUAGAAUAGUACUGUAGUGAAGACAUCAACAUUAUGAAAUAACACAUAUGGAAUCAUGUAGUAACCAAAAAAGUGUUAAACUAAUCUAAAUAUAUUUUAUAUUUUAUGUUAUUUUAAGUAGCCACCCUUUGCCUUGAUUAUAGCUCUGCACACUCUUGGCAUUCUCUCAAACAGCUUCACCUGGAAUGCUUUUCCAAUGGUCUUGAAGCAUUUCCCAUAUAUGCUGAGCACUUGUUGGCUGCUUUUCCUUCACUCGGUCCAACUCAUCCCAAACCAUCUCAACUGGGUUGAAGUCGGGUGAUUGUGGAGGCCGGGUCAUCUGAUGCAGGUGUGUUGGGUCAGUGUCUGUUGAAAAACAAAUGAUCUUACCACUAAGCACAAACCAGAUAGCAUGGCGUAUCGCUGCAAAAUGCUGUGGUAGCCAUGCUGGUUAAGUGUGCCUUAAAUUCGGAAUAAAUCCCUGACAGUGUCACCAGCAAUGCACCAUCACAACUCCUCCUCCAUGCGUCACGGUGGAAACCACACAUGCGGAGAUCAUCCGUUCACCUACUCUGCGUCUCAGAAAGACACAGUGGUUGGAACCAAAAAUCUCAAAUUUGGAUUCAUCAGCCCAAAGGACAGAUUUUCACCUUUCUAAUUUCUGAAACCCUCAGAUGUUUCCCAAUGACACAAAAUGUAAUUUGAAUUUGAGUAGGCCAUACCCCCACAUGAAGCAGAAUUAAUCAUUUGAAUUUGUAGAAUUAAUUAAUUGAAUUUCUGGAAUUAGUAUAAUUAAAUUACAUUCAAAUGGUUUAUGUAUUCUUCACAUCAUGUAUGGUUACCAAGUACCAUGUAGCAUAAGGUUGAAACAUUUCAUUUUUAAAACUCAUUCUCCUAAAAAAAAAAAUAAGUCAUUACAGUGGCCUGGAAAUAUUCUAAGACCAUGUUCUGGGUUGUCUAUAAUAAUGAAUCAUUCCCGUAAUGCUUUUACAUAUCAGAAAAAAAUAAUUUCCCAGAAUGCAUUAGAUCAAACACUGCAGUAUGGAAGGGAACGACGUUAACAUCUCAAGCCAAAGAAAAAUAUUGUUUGACGUCUUUGAGUUCUAAUCAAACUAAUAUUUGAAAUGGUAUAUGUAUUCUUUGCAUUAAUAUGUGGCA
This is a long non-coding RNA of Oncorhynchus tshawytscha (Chinook salmon), 2726 nucleotides long. Lineage: Eukaryota; Metazoa; Chordata; Actinopteri; Salmoniformes; Salmonidae. The record is from Ensembl.